AAGACUUUAAGUUAUAUAAACUAAUAGCCUUCAAAGCUAUAAAAGGAGUAUCCAAGUCUUG
This 61-nucleotide transfer RNA is filed under the name Erpobdella japonica. RNAcentral's name for it is "tRNA-Trp". The record is from RNAcentral. Lineage: Eukaryota; Metazoa; Annelida; Clitellata; Hirudinida; Erpobdellidae.